UUCAAUUUUUGACUAUUCGUCUUAUUUAAAAAAAUUUUACGAUUGAUAUUUUUGUUUUUAUUAGAUAAUAAAUCAUAAAUAGUAUUUUACGUGCGAACUAAUUUUUUCUAAUUUCCUAAAAAUUUUUCAAAUAAGACGGAUGGUCAAACGUUGGACACGGAAA
RNAcentral lists this microRNA precursor (163 nucleotides) under Oryza brachyantha (malo sina). RNAcentral describes it as "MIR812 microRNA precursor family". It matches the Rfam family "MIR812 microRNA precursor family", at positions 27 to 187 of the family's 205-position model. The record is from Rfam by way of RNAcentral. Lineage: Eukaryota; Viridiplantae; Streptophyta; Magnoliopsida; Poales; Poaceae.